RNAcentral lists this ribosomal RNA (238 nucleotides) under uncultured bacterium. RNAcentral describes it as "partial 16S ribosomal RNA". It matches the Rfam family "Bacterial small subunit ribosomal RNA", at positions 524 to 761 of the family's 1533-position model. The record is from RNAcentral.
UACGAAGGGGGCUAGCGUUGUUCGGAUUUACUGGGCGUAAAGCGCACGUAGGCGGAUCUUUAAGUCAGAGGUGAAAUCCCAAGGCUCAACCUUGGAACUGCCUUUGAUACUGGGGAUCUUGAGUCCGGGAGAGGUGAGUGGAACUGCGAGUGUAGAGGUGAAAUUCGUAGAUAUUCGCAAGAACACCAGUGGCGAAGGCGGCUCACUGGCCCGGUACUGACGCUGAGGUGCGAAAGCG